Molecule: transfer RNA, 76 nt
Filed under: Anaerolineae bacterium
Lineage: Bacteria; Bacillati; Chloroflexota; Anaerolineae
Description: tRNA-Ala
Rfam family: tRNA
About the family: Transfer RNA (tRNA) molecules are approximately 80 nucleotides in length.
Source: RNAcentral
GGGGCUGUAGCUCAGCUGGGAGAGCGCAUCAAUCGCACUGAUGAGGCCAGGGUUCUGAAUCCCCUCAGCUCCACCA